Molecule: non-coding RNA, 77 nt
Organism: Potamilus streckersoni
Lineage: Eukaryota; Metazoa; Mollusca; Bivalvia; Unionida; Unionidae
Source: the annotation of a GenBank genome assembly
AACCAUUCUGGUGGCCUAGUGGUUAGCGCAUCCACCUCAGAUAUGGAUGGUCGUGGGUUCGAUCCCCGUUCGAGUCA